GAUGAACGCUGGCGGCGUGCCUAACACAUGCAAGUCGAGCGAUUCUCUUCGGAGAAGAGCGGCGGACGGGUGAGUAACGCGUGGGUAACCUGCCCUGUACACACGGACAACAUCCCGAAAGGGGUGCUAAUACCGAAUGUGAUCGCUUUCUCGCAUGAGAGAGCGAUGAAAGAUGGCCUCUAUUUAUAAGCUAUCGCUAAAGGAUGGGCCUGCGUCUGAUUAGCUAGUUGGUGGGGUAACGGCUCACCAAGGCGAUGAUCAGUAGCCGGUCUGAGAGGAUGAACGGCCACAUUGGGACUGAGACACGGCCCAG
Molecule: ribosomal RNA, 313 nt
Filed under: uncultured bacterium
Lineage: Bacteria
Description: bacterial SSU rRNA
Rfam family: Bacterial small subunit ribosomal RNA
Source: RNAcentral